GCACUAAAUCUUUCCCAGGCCUCCUGCUUGGUGCCGGUCUGGGGACAGACGGUGCUAUAGUAGAGCAGAGGAAAUCCAGACGGGUCGAUUCCAUCUGCCCCUGGGGCCUGUCUCUACAACUCUGCUACACUC
Molecule: small nucleolar RNA, 132 nt
Organism: Mastomys coucha (southern multimammate mouse)
Lineage: Eukaryota; Metazoa; Chordata; Mammalia; Rodentia; Muridae
Product: small nucleolar RNA SNORA55
Exons: 1
Source: RefSeq, a predicted model, not a curated record